UACUGAAGGGGGCAUCUCCAAUGAGCCUCAAAAUUUCUCUGAGAUCAAUCAGACAAGGAAGGCUCCAAGGUGUUGGUCAAUGCCUUGUCCGAGAGUAUAGAAUGAUUUGUCAUGUCAUGCGAGGAAAAGUCAGCAAGGAUUUCUUUGAGGGCUGUAGAGCUAUACUGUUGGAUAAAGAUAAGAAACCAAAG
Molecule: long non-coding RNA, 191 nt
Organism: Alnus glutinosa
Lineage: Eukaryota; Viridiplantae; Streptophyta; Magnoliopsida; Fagales; Betulaceae
Exons: 3
Source: RefSeq, a predicted model, not a curated record